Molecule: long non-coding RNA, 270 nt
Filed under: Homo sapiens (human)
Lineage: Eukaryota; Metazoa; Chordata; Mammalia; Primates; Hominidae
Description: non-protein coding lnc-AHNAK-3:1
Source: RNAcentral
CUACGAAAGGCAUGAAAGCGGGGUCAAAGGAGGCAGGGCUGGGGAGAUAUUUAUUGCACAUGGUGCCGGAGAAUGGCUAUGAGCAAGACAGAGGUGGUCUCUGUUCUCAAGGCAGCUACAGAGGGACAGCCACUCCCCCAGCCCCCAACUAUGAGCUUCCCAGAACUGGCCUGAAGGUGCAGCUGCAAUGAUACGGGCUCACAUCCUGGCAUCCUCAUUUGCUAGCGUGAAAAUCGCAUUUCUCCAAACCUCGGUUUUCUCAUCUGAAAA